GACGAACGCUGGCGGCGUGCUUAACACAUGCAAGUCGUACGGUAAGGCCCUUUCGGGGGUACACGAGUGGCGAACGGGUGAGUAACACGUGAGUAACCUGCCCACAACUUUGGGAUAACGCUAGGAAACUGGUGCUAAUACUGGAUAUGUGCUCCUGCUGCAUGGUGGGGGUUGGAAAGCUCCGGCGGUUGUGGAUGGACUCGCGGCCUAUCAGCUUGUUGGUGGGGUAGUGGCCUACCAAGGCGGCGACGGGUAGCCGGCCUGGGAGGGUGACCGGCCACAUUGGGACUGAGAUACGGCCCAGACUCCUACGGGAGGCAGCAGUGGGGAAUAUUGCACAAGGGGCGCAAGCCUGAUGCAGCAACGCCGCGGGCGGGAUGACGGCCUUCGGGUUGUAAACCGCUUUCAGCAGGGACGAAGCUUUUUGUGACGGUACCUGCAGAAGAAGCACCGGCUAACUACGUG
RNAcentral lists this ribosomal RNA (465 nucleotides) under uncultured bacterium. RNAcentral's name for it is "partial 16S ribosomal RNA". It matches the Rfam family "Bacterial small subunit ribosomal RNA", at positions 28 to 507 of the family's 1533-position model. The record is from RNAcentral.